RNAcentral lists this ribosomal RNA (117 nucleotides) under Prunus persica (peach). The record is from RNAcentral. Lineage: Eukaryota; Viridiplantae; Streptophyta; Magnoliopsida; Rosales; Rosaceae.
AUAUGAGAUCAUACCAACUCACAUGCACUGGAUCCCAUCAAAACUCCAAAGUUAAGAGGGUUUGGAAAAGAGUAAUACUAGAAUAGGUGACCUCUUGAGAAGUCCUCGUUUUGCAUC